UGGGGAAUAUUGCACAAUGGGGGAAACCCUGAUGCAGCAACGCCGCGUGAGUGAUGAAGGCCUUCGGGUUGUAAAGCUCUGUCUUUGGGGACGAUAAUGACGGUACCCAAGGAGGAAGCCACGGCUAACUACGUGCCAGCAGCCGCGGUAAUACGUAGGUGGCAAGCGUUGUCCGGAUUUACUGGGCGUAAAGGGAGCGUAGGUGGAUAUUUAAGUGGGAUGUGAAAUACCUGAGCUUAACUUGGGUGCUGCAUUCCAAACUGGAUAUCUAGAGUGCAGGAGAGGAAAGUGGAAUUCCUAGUGUAGCGGUGAAAUGCGUAGAGAUUAGGAAGAACACCAGUGGCGAAGGCGACUUUCUGGACUGUAACUGACACUGAGGCUCGAAAGCGUGGGGAGCAAACA
Molecule: ribosomal RNA, 402 nt
Filed under: uncultured bacterium
Lineage: Bacteria
Description: bacterial SSU rRNA
Rfam family: Bacterial small subunit ribosomal RNA
Source: RNAcentral